This 301-nucleotide ribosomal RNA is filed under the name uncultured bacterium. RNAcentral describes it as "partial 16S ribosomal RNA". It matches the Rfam family "Bacterial small subunit ribosomal RNA", at positions 509 to 809 of the family's 1533-position model. The record is from RNAcentral.
CAGUCGCCGCGGGAAUACGUAGGUGGCAAGCGUUGUCCGGAAUUAUUGGGCGUAAAGGGCUCGCAGGCGGUUUCUUAAGUCUGAUGUGAAAGCCCCCGGCUCAACCGGGGAGGGUCAUUGGAAACUGGGAAACUUGAGUGCAGAAGAGGAGAGUGGAAUUCCACGUGUAGCGGUGAAAUGCGUAGAGAUGUGGAGGAACACCAGUGGCGAAGGCGACUCUCUGGUCUGUAACUGACGCUGAGGAGCGAAAGCGUGAGGAGCAAACAGGAUUAGAUACCCCCGUAGUCCCUGUCUCUUAUCA